Molecule: ribosomal RNA, 468 nt
Filed under: uncultured bacterium
Lineage: Bacteria
Description: partial 16S ribosomal RNA
Rfam family: Bacterial small subunit ribosomal RNA
Source: RNAcentral
GACGAACGCUGGCGGCGUGCUUAACACAUGCAAGUCGAACGGAAAGGCCCUGCUUUUGUGGGGUGCUCGAGUGGCGAACGGGUGAGUAACACGUGAGUAACCUGCCCUUGACUUUGGGAUAACUUCAGGAAACUGGGGCUAAUACCGGAUAGGAGCUCCUGCUGCAUGGUGGGGGUUGGAAAGUUUCGGCGGUUGGGGAUGGACUCGCGGCUUAUCAGCUUGUUGGUGGGGUAGUGGCCUACCAAGGCUUUGACGGGUAGCCGGCCUGAGAGGGUGACCGGCCACAUUGGGACUGAGAUACGGCCCAGACUCCUACGGGAGGCAGCGGUGGGGAAUAUUGCACAAUGGGCGGAAGCCUGAUGCAGCAACGCCGCGUGCGGGAUGACGGCCUUCGGGUUGUAAACCGCUUUCGCCUGUGACGAAGCGUGAGUGACGGUAAUGGGUAAAGAAGCACCGGCUAACUACGUG